UAACUGGACUUGUGAAUUUGAAGCAGAAUUCAACAUGCAUUGGAUUGUUCACCCACUAAUAGGGAACAUGAGCUGGGAUUAGACCGCUGUGAGACAGGUU
RNAcentral lists this non-coding RNA (100 nucleotides) under Apaloderma vittatum (bar-tailed trogon). Its description in RNAcentral is "Eukaryotic large subunit ribosomal RNA". It matches the Rfam family "Eukaryotic large subunit ribosomal RNA", at positions 2885 to 2984 of the family's 3401-position model. The record is from Rfam by way of RNAcentral. Lineage: Eukaryota; Metazoa; Chordata; Aves; Trogoniformes; Trogonidae.